Long non-coding RNA from Falco peregrinus (peregrine falcon), 974 nucleotides. RefSeq lists it as uncharacterized. The transcript is spliced from 3 exons. The record is from RefSeq and is a predicted model, not a curated record. NCBI's taxonomy places the organism in Eukaryota, Metazoa, Chordata, Aves, Falconiformes, Falconidae.
AGUUAGAAAGAAAUUGAGAGGUUUAGGUUCCUUUCUGUUCUGGUGGUGAGUGCCCCAAGCAAAAUUAUAAAUGUAAUCGUCACACUCCUUCUCAGCAUCCUGACCCCCAUCUGCAGCAGAGAAGUUUUCAUGACUGGAUUAAGCUAAGAUAGCAAUUCCUACCAUUUAACCAUAGCCAUGGGUCCCUGCUCUCCAUGCUGAGUAGAAUCUGCUCAUGCAUCCAGCAUAAAACUUCCUCAUGUUUUGAUGUGUUAAUUUUCAGCAAUAUUAGCAAGCUAAUCUAGUCCACCACAGACUCCAACAACUCCUCAGUGUGUCAAAGGAAAAAAUGUCUCAUGGGGAAUUAUCGCCAAGGAUGAACUGGGGGAGUAAACAGUCUUUUUGGUGACACAGUAGUCCAAAUUCAGUUCAACCCAAUAGUGAAACUGGGGACCUGAAUCUGUGUUUGUCCAUUUCUUCUUUAACUUCCACCACAAUAUCAUCUCUGUAGACUUGUCACCCUCACAUACCUUUUUGGAACUGCAGCUUUGGUGAUUACUGGGUGGUGACAGGUCCUCCCCAGUUAAAUCCAUGCAGCUCUGCUCUUAAAGUUUGGAACACCAGCAAUGAAAUGGUUUUAUAGAAGUGUGUAGAAUGUGCCAGUGAAGACCAGAUGGAUAAAAACCAAAGUGGACUUCUUAUAUUCUCUUGCAGUUUCAUCUCAAUACUUUAUGACUCAAGUCUGAGAAUAAGGUGAAACUUCUUUAGAAAUUCAGCAGUUUCUUGAUUUAAGGGACAUCUAGCCUGAAAAACAUCCUCUGUCUGCUUUAAAGAACAGCUACGUCCAUCAUUGCAAGUACAUCUUUGCUAUGAACCACCAGAUAUGCUAUAGAACAGAUGGAGAAGCAGAAGUCGCAGAGAUGUCUUGCAGUUAGUAAAAUUUUGGGGAUUUCUCCAUGAAGUUUUCUGGAAUAAAGCAUUCUCCUUGACUUAAA